GGUUAAGCGACUAAGCGUACACGGUGGAUGCCCUGGCAGUCAGAGGCGAUGAAGGGCGUGCUAAUCUGCGAUAAGCGCCGGUAAGGUGAUAUGAACCGUUAUAACCGGCGAUACCCGAAUGGGGAAACCCAGUGUGACUCGUCACACUAUCAUUAACUGAAUCCAUAGGUUAAUGAGGCGAACCGGGGGAACUGAAACAUCUAAGUACCCCGAGGAAAAGAAAUCAACCGAGAUUCCCCCAGUAGCGGCGAGCGAACGGGGAGGAGCCCAGAGCCUGAAUCAGCAUGUGUGUUAGUGGAAGCGUCUGGAAAGGCGCGCGAUACAGGGUGACAGCCCCGUACACAAAAGCGCAUGUGCUGUGAGCUCGAUGAGUAGGGCGGGACACGUGGUAUCCUGUCUGAAUAUGGGGGGACCAUCCUCCAAGGCUAAAUACUCCUGACUGACCGAUAGUGAACCAGUACCGUGAGGGAAAGGCGAAAAGAACCCCGGCGAGGGGAGUGAAAAAGAACCUGAAACCGUGUACGUACAAGCAGUGGGAGCACCCUUUGGGGUGUGACUGCGUACCUUUUGUAUAAUGGGUCAGCGACUUAUAUUCUGUAGCAAGGUUAACCGAAUAGGGGAGCCGGAGGGAAACCGAGUCUUAAUUGGGCGUUAAGUUGCAGGGUAUAGACCCGAAACCCGGUGAUCUAGCCAUGGGCAGGUUGAAGGUUGGGUAACACUAACUGGAGGACCGAACCGACUAAUGUUGAAAAAUUAGCGGAUGACCUGUGGCUGGGGGUGAAAGGCCAAUCAAACCGGGAGAUAGCUGGUUCUCCCCGAAAGCUAUUUAGGUAGCGCCUCGUGAAUUCAUCUCCGGGGGUAGAGCACUGUUUCGGCUAGGGGGCCAUCCCGGCUUACCAAUCCGAUGCAAACUGCGAAUACCGGAGAAUGUUAUCACGGGAGACACACGGCGGGUGCUAACGUCCGUCGUGAAGAGGGAAACAACCCAGACCGCCAGCUAAGGUCCCAAAGUCAUGGUUAAGUGGGAAACGAUGUGGGAAGGCCCAGACAGCCAGGAUGUUGGCUUAGAAGCAGCCAUCAUUUAAAGAAAGCGUAAUAGCUCACUGGUCGAGUCGGCCUGCGCGGAAGAUGUAACGGGGCUAAACCAUGCACCGAAGCUGCGGCAGCGACGCUUAUGCGUUGUUGGGUAGGGGAGCGUUCUGUAAGCCUGUGAAGGUGUGUCGUGAGGCAUGCUGGAGGUAUCAGAAGUGCGAAUGCUGACAUAAGUAACGAUAAAGCGGGUGAAAAGCCCGCUCGCCGGAAGACCAAGGGUUCCUGUCCAACGUUAAUCGGGGCAGGGUGAGUCGACCCCUAAGGCGAGGCCGAAAGGCGUAGUCGAUGGGAAACGGGUUAAUAUUCCCGUACUUGGUGUUACUGCGAAGGGGGGACGGAGAAGGCUAUGUUGGCCGGGCGACGGUUGUCCCGGUUUAAGCGUGUAGGUGUGUGUUCCAGGUAAAUCCGGUUCACUUUAACACUGAGGCGUGACGGCGAGGCACUACGGUGCUGAAGCAACAAAUGCCCUGCUUCCAGGAAAAGCCUCUAAGCAUCAGGUAACAUCAAAUCGUACCCCAAACCGACACAGGUGGUCAGGUAGAGAAUACCAAGGCGCUUGAGAGAACUCGGGUGAAGGAACUAGGCAAAAUGGUGCCGUAACUUCGGGAGAAGGCACGCUGACACGUAGGUGAAGUGAUUUACUCAUGGAGCUGAAGUCAGUCGAAGAUACCAGCUGGCUGCAACUGUUUAUUAAAAACACAGCACUGUGCAAACACGAAAGUGGACGUAUACGGUGUGACGCCUGCCCGGUGCCGGAAGGUUAAUUGAUGGGGUCAGCGCAAGCGAAGCUCCUGAUCGAAGCCCCGGUAAACGGCGGCCGUAACUAUAACGGUCCUAAGGUAGCGAAAUUCCUUGUCGGGUAAGUUCCGACCUGCACGAAUGGCGUAAUGAUGGCCAGGCUGUCUCCACCCGAGACUCAGUGAAAUUGAACUCGCUGUGAAGAUGCAGUGUACCCGCGGCAAGACGGAAAGACCCCGUGAACCUUUACUAUAGCUUGACACUGAACAUUGAGCCUUGAUGUGUAGGAUAGGUGGGAGGCUUUGAAGCGUGGACGCCAGUCUGCGUGGAGCCGACCUUGAAAUACCACCCUUUAAUGUUUGAUGUUCUAACGUGGACCCGUAAUCCGGGUUGCGGACAGUGUCUGGUGGGUAGUUUGACUGGGGCGGUCUCCUCCUAAAGAGUAACGGAGGAGCACGAAGGUUGGCUAAUCCUGGUCGGACAUCAGGAGGUUAGUGCAAUGGCAUAAGCCAGCUUGACUGCGAGCGUGACGGCGCGAGCAGGUGCGAAAGCAGGUCAUAGUGAUCCGGUGGUUCUGAAUGGAAGGGCCAUCGCUCAACGGAUAAAAGGUACUCCGGGGAUAACAGGCUGAUACCGCCCAAGAGUUCAUAUCGACGGCGGUGUUUGGCACCUCGAUGUCGGCUCAUCACAUCCUGGGGCUGAAGUAGGUCCCAAGGGUAUGGCUGUUCGCCAUUUAAAGUGGUACGCGAGCUGGGUUUAGAACGUCGUGAGACAGUUCGGUCCCUAUCUGCCGUGGGCGCUGGAGAACUGAGGGGGCUGCUCCUAGUACGAGAGGACCGGAGUGGACGCAUCACUGGUGUUCGGGUUGUCAUGCCAAUGGCACUGCCCGGUAGCUAAAUGCGGAAGAGAUAAGUGCUGAAAGCAUCUAAGCACGAAACUUGCCCCGAGAUGAGUUCUCCCUGAGACUUAGAGUCUCCUGAAGGAACGUUGAAGACGACGACGUUGAUAGGCCGGGUGUGUAAGCGCAGCGAUGCGUUGAGCUAACCGGUACUAAUGAACCGUGAGGCUUAACCUU
This 2905-nucleotide ribosomal RNA is filed under the name Salmonella enterica subsp. enterica. RNAcentral's name for it is "23S ribosomal RNA". It matches the Rfam family "Bacterial large subunit ribosomal RNA". Lineage: Bacteria; Pseudomonadati; Pseudomonadota; Gammaproteobacteria; Enterobacterales; Enterobacteriaceae. The record is from RNAcentral.